UCAACGCCUAAGAUUGAU
This 18-nucleotide non-coding RNA is filed under the name Arabidopsis thaliana (thale cress). The record is from RNAcentral. Lineage: Eukaryota; Viridiplantae; Streptophyta; Magnoliopsida; Brassicales; Brassicaceae.